GAGAGAGAGAGAGGGUGAGAGCGAGAGACGGUAAGAGAGAAACUGGGAGGCAGCAUCUCCCACCCAGACGGGAAGGAGGGGAGGGCAGACAGCGUGCCCGCCCCUCGAACAGACAGAGGUGAACGGAAAGUGGACAUGAGGGAGAGCGAGAGAGACGUGAGGGGAGAAGAGGAGCACAAUGAAGGAGUGCCAUUGUCCAUCCUGCCAGCACUGCCAUUUCACCAUCUGCUGUGAGAGGGAGAGAGAACGAUAGGGAGGGAGGAGGCAAGUCAAGAGAAGAGGAGCUGCCGCCGGUGACUUUGUGAAUUAAUCGAGCGGAAGAGUGGAUCAGAGGAGGAGCACGUUUUUCUUUUUUUCAGGGAGUGGACGGACGGAGGGACAGACACACAGAGAGAGAGAGAGAGAGGGGGAAGAGGACGGCUGGCCGAGACUGUUUAAACAUUUAUGUGAUCUCAUGUGAAUAUGGAGCCCGGCUUUAGAGGAAUCUCCAUGGAUUAUCAACUGUAUGCUUUAUAAACCAAAACAGGGGCUAUUUAUGCUUUGCCAUUCAUAAAAAAAAAAAAUCAGUCUUGGGGAAUUUGAUUAGGCUGUCUUCAUACAGGACAAUUUCAAUAACUUUUUUUGUUAAUAUAGGUUCUGGUUGUGACUGUCUUUAUGUGCAUUCUCUGCAAGAUGUGCACAGAAUAUUCAGGUUUUUCUGCAAGUUUUCUAAGCAUCACUGUUGUCUAGAAGUAAAUUAGAUGUUGUAGCUGUUUACUGUUGUUAGAAAAGUGACUCUUGUCCUUUUUGAAGGAAUCUCAGACAUUCAGUUGGAGUCUGUGCGUCCCGCCGGCUCGGGAUUCAACAUUGACUGAAACCUAUCGACCUUUCUGCAAGCCUUUAGUUUUUCUUGCAGCUGUGUUGUUAAAAAAAAAAAAGAAAAAUCUUCAACACGGAGCCUUUGAUGCAGCAACUAAUUGCUGUCACGUGAUUUGACGAAGCAGUUAUCUCUUUGUCUGAAGAUUUCUGCAGUUGUCGGGACUUCUCAGCGUUCCUCCGCAGGCAUCUCUCUUAAUGGCUGUUGCCAUAGCAACGAGCAGCAGCUGCAGAUGGAACAAGAUGUCAAGUUCGUUUAUUUGUUUCUCUCUAAACAAACGGUGCUGUUCCAUUGUGUAACUGUUAACAAGAAGCCUUGUUAAGUCCACAAUUGCGUGCAGUUUUUGGACUUUAUACACGGCUGUUGUUUUUUCCUUUUCUUUACUAGACAGUCUUGUCUAUGCAGCAGACUCUGGGAAUCAAGGUUGUUUCAGGUCACCUAUCCCACCCCGCCCCCCCCCCCCCUCCCCACCCCUUAUUCUGUGUAGUCUUGUGCUAGUCGGCGCAGCCCUGUUUGUCCCAAUCUCUC
Gasterosteus aculeatus aculeatus (three-spined stickleback) is the source of this 1384-nucleotide long non-coding RNA. NCBI's taxonomy places the organism in Eukaryota, Metazoa, Chordata, Actinopteri, Perciformes, Gasterosteidae. The record is from Ensembl.